CCUACGGGUGGCAGCAGUGAGGAAUAUUGGUCAAUGGACGAGAGUCUGAACCAGCCAAGUAGCGUGAAGGAUGACUGCCCUAUGGGUUGUAAACUUCUUUUAUAUGGGAAUAAAAUGUUCCACGUGUGGGAUUUUGUACGUAUCAUAUGAAUAAGGAUCGGCUAACUCCGUGUCAGCAGCCGCGGUAAUACGGAGGAUCCGAGCGUUAUCCGGAUUUAUUGGGUUUAAAGGGAGCGUAGGUGGAUGGUUAAGUCAGUUGUGAAAGUUUGCGGCUCAACCGUGAAAUUGCAGUUGAAACUGGGAGUCUUGAGUACAGGAGAGGUAAGCGGAAUUCGUGGUGUAGCGGUGAAAUGCUUAGAUAUCACGAAGAACUCCAGUUGCGAAGGCAGCUUACUGGACUGCAACUGACGCUGAGGCUCGAAAGUGUGGGUAGCAAACAGGAUUAGAUACCCUUGUAGUC
RNAcentral lists this ribosomal RNA (460 nucleotides) under uncultured bacterium. RNAcentral's name for it is "partial 16S ribosomal RNA". It matches the Rfam family "Bacterial small subunit ribosomal RNA", at positions 338 to 795 of the family's 1533-position model. The record is from RNAcentral.